CUGAUGUGAGUCCUAACUCAGUUGUGAGCUCAUGUGUAGUUCUGUGUUUGGUCUCUGUGUGUCAGUAGUGAGUGAUAGUGUUUGAUCAGCUGCAGCAUCAGUUCAGUCACUGUGACUCUGACUGACACAGGUUUUUGUACGACUCACAAUCACUGUGUGAACACAUAAUCACCCACACAACCAUAAUAAUUUGUUCUGCAAUUAAAACUCUGACAGUAAUAAUGUCCAGCAUCUUCAGUCUGGACUCCACUGAUGGUCAGAGUGAAAUCACUGUUAGAUCCACUGCCACUGAAUCUAGAUGGAGUUCCUGACUGGAGACUGCUUGUAUAAUAAAUCAGGAGUUUAGGAGCUUCUCCAGGUUUCUGUAAGUACCAGGCUAAA
Molecule: long non-coding RNA, 381 nt
Organism: Carassius gibelio (silver crucian carp)
Lineage: Eukaryota; Metazoa; Chordata; Actinopteri; Cypriniformes; Cyprinidae
Exons: 2
Source: RefSeq, a predicted model, not a curated record